UCAUUUAAAGAAAGCGUAAUAGCUCACUGGUCGAGUCGGCCUGCGCGGAAGAUGUAACGGGGCUAAACCAUGCACCGAAGCUGCGGCAGCGACACUAUGUGUUGUUGGGUAGGGGAGCGUUCUGUAAGCCUGCGAAGGUGUGCUGUGAGGCAUGCUGGAGGUAUCAGAAGUGCGAAUGCUGACAUAAGUAACGAUAAAGCGGGUGAAAAGCCCGCUCGCCGGAAGACCAAGGGUUCCUGUCCAACGUUAAUCGGGGCAGGGUGAGUCGCACCCUAGGCGAGGCCGAAAGGCGUAGUCGAUGGGAAACAGGUUAAUAUUCCUGUACUUGGUGUUACUGCGAAGGGGGG
This 347-nucleotide ribosomal RNA is filed under the name Klebsiella pneumoniae. Its description in RNAcentral is "bacterial LSU rRNA". It matches the Rfam family "Bacterial large subunit ribosomal RNA", at positions 1119 to 1471 of the family's 2925-position model. Lineage: Bacteria; Pseudomonadati; Pseudomonadota; Gammaproteobacteria; Enterobacterales; Enterobacteriaceae. The record is from RNAcentral.